This 332-nucleotide long non-coding RNA is filed under the name Chinchilla lanigera (long-tailed chinchilla). RNAcentral describes it as "lncRNA (ENSCLAG00000026592.1)". Lineage: Eukaryota; Metazoa; Chordata; Mammalia; Rodentia; Chinchillidae. The record is from RNAcentral.
AUGAACAAGGAAGCACCGGAGAUAGAAUGUUGCAUGAGGAAGAACAAUAACGGGAAGGCUUGGACAUGUGAAGCUGAUUUUGGGAAAGACAAGCUGAGUGAUGACCGGAUCCCUGAGGUUUGGUCAUCAAUACCAGGAAGACGAUUUGAUGAACAAGGAAGCACUGGAGGUAGAAUGUUGCAUGAAGAAGAACAAUAACGGGAAGGCUUGGACAUGUGAAGCUGAUUUUGGGAAAGACAAGCUGAGUGAUGACCGUGAGUAGCUUAGAUCUCACAUUUACAAAAUUCUUAAAAUAUUCUAUUCCCUUCACAGUUGUGGAGCUUGGGAUAGAC